This 393-nucleotide ribosomal RNA is filed under the name uncultured bacterium. RNAcentral's name for it is "bacterial SSU rRNA". It matches the Rfam family "Bacterial small subunit ribosomal RNA", at positions 29 to 425 of the family's 1533-position model. The record is from RNAcentral.
AUUGAACGCUGGCGGCAUGCUUUACACAUGCAAGUCGAGCGGCAGCGCGGGGGCAACCCUGGCGGCGAGCGGCGAACGGGUGAGUAAUGCAUCGGAACGUAUCCUGUAGUGGGGAAUAACUCACCGAAAGGUGAGCUAAUACCGCAUAAGCUCUGAGGAGGAAAGCGGGGGACCGAAAGGCCUCGCGCUGCAGGAGCGGCCGAUGUCCGAUUAGCUAGUUGGUGAGGUAAAGGCUCACCAAGGCGACGAUCGGUAGCUGGUCUGAGAGGAUGAUCAGCCACACUGGGACUGAGACACGGCCCAGACUCCUACGGGAGGCAGCAGUGGGGAAUUUUGGACAAUGGGGGAAACCCUGAUCCAGCCAUGCCGCGUGAGUGAAGAAGGCCUCGGUUG